RNAcentral lists this ribosomal RNA (292 nucleotides) under uncultured bacterium. Its description in RNAcentral is "partial 16S ribosomal RNA". It matches the Rfam family "Bacterial small subunit ribosomal RNA", at positions 505 to 796 of the family's 1533-position model. The record is from RNAcentral.
GUGCCAGCAGCCGCGGUAAUACGGAGGGCGCAAGCGUUGUUCGGAAUCACUGGGCGUAAAGCGCGUGUAGGCGGCUUGGCAAGUCGGCUGUGAAAGCCCGGGGCUCAACCCCGGAGGGUCAGCCGAAACUGCCUCGCUCGAGUCCCGGAGAGGGUGGCGGAAUUUCCGGUGUAGAGGUGAAAUUCGUAGAUAUCGGAAGGAACACCAGUGGCGAAGGCGGCCACCUGGACGGUGACUGACGCUGAGACGCGAAAGCGUGGGGAGCAAACAGGAUUAGAUACCCUCGUAGUCC